RNAcentral lists this ribosomal RNA (2904 nucleotides) under Breznakia pachnodae. RNAcentral describes it as "23S ribosomal RNA". It matches the Rfam family "Bacterial large subunit ribosomal RNA". Lineage: Bacteria; Bacillati; Bacillota; Erysipelotrichia; Erysipelotrichales; Erysipelotrichaceae. The record is from RNAcentral.
GAUUAAGUUAAUAAGGGCGUACGGUGGAUGCCUUGGCACUAUGAGCUGAAGAAGGACGCAACUAACGGCGAAACGCGUCGGGGAGUGGUAAGUACACAACGAUCCGGCGAUAUCCGAAUGGGGGAACCCAGCAGAAGUAAUGUUCUGUUAUCCAUAAGUGAAUACAUAGCUUAUGAGAGAGCAACCUAGGGAAUUGAAACAUCUUAGUACCUAGAGGAAAAGAAAACAACAGUGAUUCCCAGAGUAGCGGCGAGCGAAAUGGGAGGAGCCCAAACCGACUAUGAGUCGGGGUAGUAGGACUGCGACGUGGUAUUUAUGAUGGUAGAAGAAUGGCAUUGAAAGGCCAACCGAAGAGGGUGCAAGUCCCGUAUUCGAAACCAAAGUAAAACCUAGCAGUAUCCUGAGUACGGCGAGACACGAGAAAUCUUGUCGGAAUCAACCAGGACCAUCUGGUAAGGCUAAAUACUCCAUAGUGACCGAUAGUGAACCAGUACCGUGAGGGAAAGGUGAAAAGAACCCCGGGAGGGGAGUGAAAUAGAACCUGAAACCGUAUGCUUACAAGAAGUCAGAGCCCGUUAAAGGGUGAUGGCGUGCCUUUUGUAGAAUGAACCGGCGAGUUACCAUAUCGUGCGAGGUUAAGUAGAAAAUACGGAGCCGAAGCGAAAGCGAGUCUUAAUAGGGCGAGAGUACGAUGCGGUAGACCCGAAACUAGGUGAUCUAUCCAUGACCAGGUUGAAGUUGAGGUGAAACUCAAUGGAGGACCGAACCGACUAUCGUUGAAAAGCUAGCGGAUGAGUUGUGGAUAGCGGAGAAAUUCCAAUCGAACCUAGAUAUAGCUGGUUCUCCUCGAAAUAGCUUUAGGGCUAGCGUCGAAGUAGAGUCAUAUGGAGGUAGAGCACUGAAUGUAUGAUGGCCCCAUCUCGGGGUACUGAUUAUAAUCAAACUACGAAUGCCAUAUCGAUAUAUUCGGCAGUCAGACUGUGGGUGAUAAGGUCCAUGGUCAAAAGGGAAACAGCCCAGAUCACCAGCUAAGGUCCCAAAAUUUAUGCUAAGUGGAAAAGGAUGUGGGGAUGCACAGACAACUAGGAGGUUGGCUCAGAAGCAGCCAUCCUUUAAAGAGUGCGUAACAGCUCACUAGUCGAGUGACCCUGCGCCGAAAAUGUACCGGGGCUAAGCAUAAUACCGAAGCUGUGGAUUCAUGCUUUGAGCAUGAGUGGUAGAGGAGCGUUCCAUUCGUCGUUGAAGCCAUACCGUGAGGAGUGGUGGAGAGUAUGGAAGUGAGAAUGCCGGUGUGAGUAGCGAGAUGCAGGUGAGAAUCCUGCACACCGAUAGCCUAAGGUUUCCAGGGGAAGGUUCGUCCGCCCUGGGUAAGUCAGGACCUAAGAUGAGGCCGAAAGGCGUAGUCGAUGGACAACAGGUUGAUAUUCCUGUACCCGCGUGAAAAUGACGGAGUGACGGAGAUGGUUAAUGUAUGCCACUUAAUGGAUUGUGGUCUAAGCGAAGUAGCUUGUAUGUAGGAAAAUCCGCAUACUGAUAGGCAAAAGCGUGAUGGGGAAAAGAAAGCCUUCGGGCGAGUAAAGAAGUACACGAUACCAGCUUCCAAGAAAAGCUUCUAGUAUAUUUCAUGACGGCCUGUACCGAAACCGACACAGGUGGGCAAGGCGAGAAGCCUGAGGUGAGCGAGAGAACUGUUGCCAAGGAACUCGGCAAAAUGGUCCCGUACGUUCGCAAGAAGGGACGCUCUAGAAAUAGAGCCGCAGUGAAUAGGCCCAAGCGACUGUUUAUCUAAAACACAGCUCUCUGCUAAGUUGAAAGACGACGUAUAGGGGGUGACUCCUGCCCGGUGCUGGAAGGUUAAGGGAAUCUGUUAGGACUAGAUCCGAAGCAGUGAACUGAAGCCCCAGUGAACGGCGGCCGUAACUAUAACGGUCCUAAGGUAGCGAAAUUCCUUGUCAGGUAAGUUCUGACCCGCACGAAAGGAGUAACGAUUUGGGCGCUGUCUCGGCAGCAGACUCGGUGAAAUCUUAGUACCUGUGAAAAUGCAGGUUACCCGCAACUAGACGGAAAGACCCCAUGGAGCUUUACUGUAGCUUGAUAUUGAAUUUUAGUUAAACAUGUACAGGAUAGGUGGGAGACGUUAAAGCAUGCACGCCAGUGUAUGUGUAGUCACUGUUGGGAUACCACCCUUGUUUAAUUGAAAUUCUAACCUACUACCGUUAUCCGGUAGAGGGACCGUGUCAGGUGGGCAGUUUGACUGGGGCGGUCGCCUCCUAAAAAGUAACGGAGGCGCCCAAAGGUAUGCUCAGAUUGGAUGGAAAUCAAUCGACGAGUGCAAUUGCAGAAGCAUGCUUGACUGUGAGACCUACAAGUCGAACAGGGACGAAAGUCGGGAAUAGUGAUCCGGCGGUACCGAAUGGAAGGGCCGUCGCUCAACGGAUAAAAGCUACCCUGGGGAUAACAGGCUGAUCUCGCCCAAGAGUUCACAUCGACGGCGAGGUUUGGCACCUCGAUGUCGGCUCAUCGCAUCCUGGAGCUGAAUUCGGUUCCAAGGGUUGGGCUGUCCGCCCAUUAAAGCGGUACGCGAGCUGGGUUCAGAACGUCGUGAGACAGUUCGGUCCCUAUCUGUUGUGGGCGUAGGAAAUUUGAGGAGAGCUGUCCUUAGUACGAGAGGACCGGGAUGGACUUACCUCUGGUGCACCAGUUGUCGUGCCAACGGCAUAGCUGGGUAGCUAAGUAGGGAAAGGAUAAGCGCUGAAGGCAUCUAAGCGCGAAGCCUCCUCCAAGAUGAGAUUUCCCAUACGUAAGUAGUAAGACCCCUUAAAGACGAUAAGGUUGAUAGGCUAGAGAUGGAAGUGUAGCGAUACAUGGAGUUGACUAGUACUAAUAGGUCGAGGACUUAAUCAC